Molecule: ribosomal RNA, 450 nt
Filed under: uncultured bacterium
Lineage: Bacteria
Description: partial 16S ribosomal RNA
Rfam family: Bacterial small subunit ribosomal RNA
Source: RNAcentral
GUGGGGAAUCUUCCGCAAUGGACGAAAGUCUGACGGAGCAACGCCGCGUGAGUGAAGAAGGUUUUCGGAUUGUAAAACUCUGUCUUUUGGGACGAACGGUCUCUAUGUGAAUAAUGUAGAGGAUUGACGGUACCAAAGGAGGAAGCCCCGGCUAACUACGUGCCAGCAGCCGCGGUAAUACGUAGGGGGCAAGCGUUGUCCGGAAUUAUUGGGCGUAAAGCGCGCGCAGGUGGGAUCUUAAGUCCAUUUUUAAAGUUCGGAGCUCAACUCCGUGAUGGGAUGGAAACUGGGAUUCUUGAGUACCGGAGAGGAAAGCGGAAUUCCCCGUGUAGCGGUGAAAUGCGUAGAUAUGGGGAGGAACACCAGUGGCGAAGGCGGCUUUCUGGACGGUGUCUGACACUGAGGCGCGAAAGCCAGGGGAGCGAACGGGAUUAGAAACCCUGGUAGUCC